RNAcentral lists this ribosomal RNA (922 nucleotides) under uncultured bacterium. Its description in RNAcentral is "bacterial SSU rRNA". It matches the Rfam family "Bacterial small subunit ribosomal RNA", at positions 8 to 916 of the family's 1533-position model. The record is from RNAcentral.
AGAGUUUGAUCAUGGCUCAGGACGAACGCUGGCGGCGUGGAUUAGGCAUGCAAGUCGAACGGUAUGGCACCUUUCGGGUGUCAGAGAGUGGCGAACGGGUGAGUAACACGUAGGUUAUCUACCCUCAAGAUCGGGACAACCCAGGGAAACUUGGGCUAAUACCGGAUGUGAGCAUCUCUUUAGGGAUGUUUGAAAGGUGGCUUUUAGCUGUCGCUUGAGGAUGAGCCUGCGUCCUAUUAGUUAGUUGGUGAGGUAAUGGCUCCCCAAGGCUAUGAUAGGUAGGCGGCCUUAACGGGUGGUCGCCCACACUGGGAUUGAGAUACGGCCCAGACUCCUACGGGAGGCAGCAGUCGAGAAUAGUCUACAAUGGCCGAAAGGCUGAUAGUGCGACGCCGCGUGAACGAGGAAGCCCUUCGGGGUGUAAAGUUCUUUUAUAUGUGAGCAGUGCCGGUCAUAUUAAUAGUAUGAUUGGAGCGAUAUUAGCAUAUGAAUAAGCAACGGCUAACUCCGUGCCAGCAGCCGCGGUAACACGGGGGUUGCGAGCGUUGUCCGGAAUUACUAGGCGUAAAGGGCAGGCAGGCGGACCUGCAGGUUUUCUGUUAAAGACGUCAGCUCAACUGGCGCACGGCAGGAGAUACUGCAGAUCUUGAAUGCGGUUGGGGAAGACAGAAUUCCUGGUGUAGCGGUGGAAUGCGCAGAGAUCAGGAGGAAUACCAAAGGCGAAGGCAGUCUUCCAAGCCGUUAUUGACGCUCAACUGCGAAGGUGUGGGUAUCAAACAGGAUUAGAUACCCUGGUAGUCCACACAGUAAACGAUGAUCACUAGGUGUCGGUUUCGUAAUAGGAUUCGGUGCCGUAGCUAACGCGUUAAGUGAUUCGCCUGGGGAGUACGAUCGCAAGGUUGAAACUCAAAGGAAUUGACGG